Molecule: long non-coding RNA, 845 nt
Organism: Gallus gallus (chicken)
Lineage: Eukaryota; Metazoa; Chordata; Aves; Galliformes; Phasianidae
Exons: 3
Source: RefSeq, a predicted model, not a curated record
UCUAGCCUAGCAAAAUGAAAGUUGGGAAGAAAUAGGAUUACGUCUAAAUACUUUAGCCUGAGAAUGAAUACUAAAGAGGAAGAAGUAUGAUUGAAAUUAGAGGAUAAGGCAAGCGAUACAGGCAGUCCUGGAUGCGAAACUCCAGCUGCCCUUCCUGAUUAAUUAAGUAACCAUUUUGGGGAAGACAUGUGAGGGGAUUUCUACCGUUGCUGUUAUCAUGAGAAGUUGGCCACAGAGUUGAGAAGUUGGGUAGGCACUGCUGACUGCUUCUUUGAAUCAUGAACUUGAAGAGCUAGUGACUGAAGAAAUGAACUACAAAUCUGCAUACAUUAGAAGCUCAUUCAAAGAAGUUGCAUACUGACAAGAAAUACUGUAAGAAUCUCAAUGACCUCGGUGUUUCAGUGCUGCACUUAAGUUUAGUCGCUGGACUCUUCAUGUCAGGAAUCCUUCAGAUUUGCUGGGAGAGGGGACUCCUGCUAACUUUCAGGAAGAACGGCAGACACAAGCAGUGAUACUGGGCAAUCAAAUUUGAGAGUGGAUUUGAAAAGGAAUGUCUGUACACCGCACCAUUGCACUUUGCCGUGAUAUUUUAAUAAGAUGUUCUGACAAGAGAACUGAACAUUGUAAAUGUGUCUGGAGACUCUGAAUAGCCACUUUCAACACUUCCAAAUAGCCUAAUUUUCUCUGCAUGACAUGUGCUGUAAAUAACUCAUCAUCCUCCUGGGUGGGGUGAACUAACCCAGUGUGUUUGUUUCUGAAGAGGAGGAGGGUUUGCUCACCCAAGACCUCUCUCUAUGGCAUCGUGUGCAGAGAGCAUUCUUCUCUUUAGGGACAGGGAAGGGGAA